UCCGCAGGGGGUUUGCCAAGUCUGGUGUGAAAUCUCACGGCUCAACCGUGAAACUGCACUGGAAACUGGUGAACUGGAGUCUGCGAGGGGUGAGCGGAAUUCCUGGUGUAGCGGUGGAAUGCGUAGAUAUCAGGAAGAACACCGAUGGCGACGGCGGCUCACUGGCGCAGUACUGACCCUCAUGGACGAAAGCGUGGGUAGCGAACAGGAUUAGAUACCCUGGUAGUCC
Molecule: ribosomal RNA, 229 nt
Filed under: uncultured bacterium
Lineage: Bacteria
Description: partial 16S ribosomal RNA
Rfam family: Bacterial small subunit ribosomal RNA
Source: RNAcentral